AAGGUCACGGCAAGACAAGCCGUUUAUCAUUGAAAUAGGUGUCCAGUAUAAGUGCAGUGAUGUAUGCAGCUGAAGCAUCCUAACAGACCGGU
This 92-nucleotide ribosomal RNA is filed under the name Cynomorium songaricum. RNAcentral's name for it is "4.5S ribosomal RNA". The record is from RNAcentral. Lineage: Eukaryota; Viridiplantae; Streptophyta; Magnoliopsida; Saxifragales; Cynomoriaceae.